Podarcis lilfordi (Lilford's wall lizard) is the source of this 73-nucleotide non-coding RNA. NCBI's taxonomy places the organism in Eukaryota, Metazoa, Chordata, Lepidosauria, Squamata, Lacertidae. The record is from the annotation of a GenBank genome assembly.
GGAUAGCUCAGGCAGUAGAGCAUGGGACUCUUCAUCUCAGGGUUGUGGGUUCAACCUCCACAAGAUUUCUGCA